GGGCCAGUGGCGCAGCUGGGAGCGCGCAUCAAUGGCAUUGAUGAGGUCACCGGUUCGAUCCCGGUCUGGUCCACCA
RNAcentral lists this transfer RNA (76 nucleotides) under Acidobacteriota bacterium. RNAcentral describes it as "Acidobacteria bacterium (wastewater metagenome) tRNA-Ala". It matches the Rfam family "tRNA". From Rfam's summary of the family: Transfer RNA (tRNA) molecules are approximately 80 nucleotides in length. Their secondary structure includes four short double-helical elements and three loops (D, anti-codon, and T loops). The record is from RNAcentral. Lineage: Bacteria; Pseudomonadati; Acidobacteriota.